RNAcentral lists this ribosomal RNA (253 nucleotides) under uncultured bacterium. Its description in RNAcentral is "partial 16S ribosomal RNA". It matches the Rfam family "Bacterial small subunit ribosomal RNA", at positions 524 to 776 of the family's 1533-position model. The record is from RNAcentral.
UACGUAGGGGGCAAGCGUUAUCCGGAUUCACUGGGUUUAAAGGGUGCGUAGGCGGGUAGGUAAGUCCGUGGUGAAAUCUCUGAGCUUAACUCAGAAACUGCCGUGGAUACUAUUUGCCUUGAAUAUUGUGGAGGUGAGCGGAAUAUGUCAUGUAGCGGUGAAAUGCUUAGAUAUGACAUAGAACACCAAUUGCGAAGGCAGCUCACUACACAAUGAUUGACGCUGAGGCACGAAAGCGUGGGGAUCAAACAGG